UAGAUCACGGGAGAGAAGGCGAGCUCGCGGCUGACCGCAGCGUGCGAGGCGGACGGGUGAGAAACAUUUGUGGUCGUGCCGUUGGCGACUGGAGAUUUGGAAUGCGGCCGUGGCCAUGGGCGGUCCUGGAGCUGGAUCACGUGUGUGCUGCCUCCAACCUGCUUUGCUGCUCCUGCGAUCUCAAGACGUGUGCAGAUCUGAGGACGAAGGGAAGAAUAAGAAGAAUUUAGCUAGAGAUCUGAAGAAGAUCAAGGUGAUUUUUCUCCCUCCUGUUAAGCUUUGUUAUCUCAUUUUGAUGCUAUUGUUUGUGAUUGAUGUAAACAUGAGGAAGAUAAGAGAUCACAACGAGGCUAAAUGAGAUUUGUGGUAACCAAAAUUCUUUCUUUGUUUACCUACAGAACUUUAUUGCACUAUUGAUUAUGUACUAUUUUCCUUUCCUAAAGGAAGAUGCCGAGUCAUGUAACAUCUUUAAAGAAGAGAGAAUCUGCAUUUUGUUCAUGUGCUUUCAGUUAGGGUGGAUUUGUGUUUUCAGAAAUGAGGCAACCUUACAUGUACAUAUUCACAUAUUUCCUUUAUAACACUACCAGCAGACAUGAGUUCUUGUGUUUUUAGAGCUUCAUGGAAACAGGAUUCGGUGCUGCCCACUUAGUCUUUUUUUGCAGAUAUAUUUCCUUUAUCACUCCCCCAGCAGACGUGAGUUCUUGUGGCGGGGUUUUUCAUGCCGUCAUGUUAGGAAUUUAUUAUCGGAUUGUAGAUGAGGUCCUUCUUCAGUUCAGCUACGCUGGGCACUGUUUCCACUUCUUGUUUCUUACUUAUUCAUGUGCUUUCAGUUAGGGCGGAUUUGUGUUUUCAGAAAUGAGGCAACCUUACAUGCACAUAUUCACAUAUUUCCUUUAUAACACUACCAACAGACAUGAGUUCUUGUGUUUUUAGAGCUUCAUGGAAACAGGAUUCGGUGCUUCCCACUUAGUCUUUUUUUGCAGAUAUAUUUCCUUUAUCACUCCCCCAGCAGACGUGAGUUCUUGUGGCGGGGUUUUUCAUGCCGCCAUGUUAGGAAUUUAUUAUCAGAUUGUAGAAGGCCAAAAAAGGCGGAGACGAGUCAUGGAUCCUGCUGGCAAUGGCUACUGGUUGUAGAUGGAAUUUAAGCAGAGGAAUCGCAAAAGUUGUGCCCCAUGAGGCUAGCGACCAAAGGCCCGAUUCGUUUCCGUUGAAGCUUAUGUUCAGCUUGGCCCUUCAUCUGGGUGUAUGGUUAUCCUCAUCUCUAUACGCGCAUGCAUGGACGAGCUUCAGUCUGAUGAGGAGAAAACAAUCAUGUUGAGUUUUAAUCAGAACAGGUGGACAACCAUGUAAAAGGUUGGAAGAACUGUUCUAUUUUUGCAUCUGCAACCAGCUGCUGCUGCUCAAGAUUUGCUCUCCUUUUCCAAUGCAUGUGCGUUAUCUGUGGCUCAAGAUAUAUUUAUCUUUUUGUGCAUGUUGUCAUGGUUGUUGAUUGACUGACUGUCUCUCUAUUGCGGAUCUAUCCGGGGGUCGUCUUAUUUUCCAGUCUUGUGUGACUUCCGUUUUAUGCUUAUAUUUGGUGGUUGCGUGUGAGCGGGAUGUGUGCUCUUAUUUCGACCGUUAUACCUGUUUUGCAAGCCGUGGUGCCUUGGUGUGCUUUGCCAGCGCUUUCGUACCUACUAUGGUCACAGAGGAUGUGUCUGUUCUUGGCUUCUUGCUGGGGUAGAACAGGAGCUUCCAAGGGAUGGUUCUUGUCCAGUUCCUUACUACACACUCUUGCUAUUUUGAAUAGGUAGUACAGCAUGAAGUGGCAGGCUGGAAGAAGUCCAAAGCCAGUUUCCGUCGGAUGAGAAUUCAUAGCAUCAUUGUGAGAUGGAGUCGAUUCAAGCAUCACAUGUUGGAAAUACUGCACCAUAGUGACAUAAGGGGCAUCGCAUUCAGGAAACCUAAUGAUUCUAUAUACACCUUCCCAAUGCCUGAUUGCAUAUGCCAACAAGAUGGAAUAUGAUCUAGGCGUUAGCAUACAUAACUGAGGGAUGCAUAUCCUCUGCCUUUGUGCAACAAAGGCACCAAAGGCAUGGCAUUGUUGACUGCAUGAUCAGGAUUUGAUGGUCAUGAUGAAAACUGGAGUGAAAUAAAGCAUUUGGCGCUUCUCAGGAGAUUCUUAAACCCUCUGGCAUACCCCAAACCGUUCGAUUCUGGAUAUAAUGGUCAAAAGGUGCCUAAUGACAAUGAUUUCCAUAGGAUCAGAAAUUGAGAGGAUGCGAGGGAUUUUGUAAAGUUAGUAAUCUGUAGGUAGUCCACCAUAUAGCAAUCUCCAUUUGUUCAAUGGGUUGUGGAUAUGAGUACAAUCUGAGUGCCUCGAUGUA
Molecule: long non-coding RNA, 2366 nt
Organism: Triticum dicoccoides
Lineage: Eukaryota; Viridiplantae; Streptophyta; Magnoliopsida; Poales; Poaceae
Exons: 5
Source: RefSeq, a predicted model, not a curated record